GUUAGGAAUUUUGGGCAAUGGGCGGAAGCCUGACCCAGCAACGCCGCGUGGGUGAUGAAGGCCCUCGGGUCGUAAAGCCCUUUUCCCAGGGAAGAUAGUGACGGUACCUGGGGAAUCAGCCCCGGCUAACUACGUGCCAGCAGCCGCGGUAAUACGUAGGGGGCAAGCGUUGUCCGGAUUUAUUGGGCGUAAAGCGCUCGCAGGUGGUUCGUUGCGUCGUGCGUGAAAGACCCUGGCUCAACUGGGGAGUGUCGUGCGAUACGGGCGGACUAGAGGCCAGUAGGGGGAUGCGGAAUUCCGGGUGUAGUGGUGGAAUGCGUAGAGAUCCGGAGGAACACCAGCGGCGAAGGCGGCAUCCUGGACUGGUCCUGACACUCAGGAGCGAAAGCGUGGGGAGCGAUCCGGAUUAGAUACCCGAGUAGUCC
RNAcentral lists this ribosomal RNA (425 nucleotides) under uncultured bacterium. RNAcentral's name for it is "bacterial SSU rRNA". It matches the Rfam family "Bacterial small subunit ribosomal RNA", at positions 354 to 796 of the family's 1533-position model. The record is from RNAcentral.